AGUGAACGCUGGCGGUAGGCCUAACACAUGCAAGUCGAACGGCAGCACAGUAAGAGCUUGCUCUUACGGGUGGCGAGUGGCGGACGGGUGAGGAAUACAUCGGAAUCUACUUUUUCGUGGGGGAUAACGUAGGGAAACUUACGCUAAUACCGCAUACGACCUACGGGUGAAAGCAGGGGAUCGUCGGACCUUGCGCGAUUGAAUGAGCCGAUGUCGGAUUAGCUAGUUGGCGGGGUAAAGGCCCACCAAGGCGACGAUCCGUAGCUGGUCUGAGAGGAUGAUCCGCCACACUGGAACUGAGACACGGUCCAGACUCCUACGGGAGGCCGCAGUGGGGACUCUUGGACAAUUGGCUCAAGCCUGAUCCAGCCCUACCGCGUGGGUCAAGAAGGCCUUCGGGUUGUAAAGCCCUUUUGUUGGGAAAGAAAAGCAGCAGGUUAAUACCCCGCUGUUCUGACGGUACCCAAAGAAUAAGCACCGGCUAACUUCGUG
Molecule: ribosomal RNA, 492 nt
Filed under: uncultured bacterium
Lineage: Bacteria
Description: partial 16S ribosomal RNA
Rfam family: Bacterial small subunit ribosomal RNA
Source: RNAcentral